Molecule: signal recognition particle RNA, 265 nt
Filed under: Candidatus Aeolococcus gillhamiae
Lineage: Bacteria; Bacillati; Candidatus Dormiibacterota; Candidatus Dormibacteria; Candidatus Aeolococcales; Candidatus Aeolococcaceae
Description: signal recognition particle sRNA large type
Rfam family: Bacterial large signal recognition particle RNA
About the family: The signal recognition particle (SRP) is a universally conserved ribonucleoprotein involved in the co-translational targeting of proteins to membranes. Archaeal SRP consists of a 7S RNA and homologues of the eukaryotic SRP19 and SRP54 proteins.
Source: RNAcentral
UCGCGCUAGAUGGGGCGUUAGCGGUGCCCUGUACCCGCAAUCCGCUAUAGCGGGGUCGAAUUCCCCACCGAGGGGGCGUGGCGUUGGGUCUGCUCCGAGCGCAUUGGCGUUGACGAUCGGGUCCUACGCAGCCCGGGUCUGUGAACUCCGUCAGGUCCGGAAGGAAGCAGCGGUAAACGGUCCCCCGGGGGUGCCGUAGCCAACCUGGUCCGAGCUGAACGAUCGGGUGAGCGCCGGCGUCGCGCCAACGACGUGGGGUGCGCGA